Molecule: ribosomal RNA, 225 nt
Filed under: uncultured Pseudomonadales bacterium
Lineage: Bacteria; Pseudomonadati; Pseudomonadota; Gammaproteobacteria; Pseudomonadales
Description: partial 16S ribosomal RNA
Rfam family: Bacterial small subunit ribosomal RNA
Source: RNAcentral
GGUGAGUAAUGCCUAGGAAUCUGCCUGGUAUGGGGGACAACGUUUCGAAAGGAACGCUAAUACCGCAUACGUCCUACGGGAGAAAGCAGGGGACCUUCGGGCCUUGCGCUAUCAGAUGAGCCUAGGUCGGAUUAGCUAGUUGGUGAGGUAAUGGCUCACCAAGGCGACGAUCCGUAACUGGUCUGAGAGGAUGAUCAGUCACACUGGAACUGAGACACGGUCCAG